Molecule: unclassified non-coding RNA, 315 nt
Filed under: uncultured fungus
Lineage: Eukaryota; Fungi
Description: partial contains 5.8S ribosomal RNA and internal transcribed spacer 2
Rfam family: 5.8S ribosomal RNA (bases 1-133)
Source: RNAcentral
UGGUUCUGGCAUCGAUGAAGAACGCAGCGAAAUGCGAUAAGUAAUGUGAAUUGCAGAAUUCAGUGAAUCAUCGAAUCUUUGAACGCACAUUGCACCCUCUGGUAUUCCGGGGGGUAUGCCUGUUCGAGCGUCAUUUCAACCCUCAAGCCUAGCUUGGUGUUGGGCAUCAUCUAAAAGGAUGUGCCUUAAAAUCACUGGCGGUGCCAUCUGGCUUCAAGCGUAGUAAACUUCCGCUCUAGAGGCUUGGGUGUUUGCUUGCCAUCAACCCCUAAUUUUUCAAAGGUUGACCUCGGAUCAGGUAGGGAUACCCGCUGA